GAUGAACGCUGGCGGCGUGCCUAAUACAUGCAAGUCGAGCGAAUGGAUUGAGAGCUUGCUCUUAUGAAGUUAGCGGCGGACGGGUGAGUAACACGUGGGUAACCUGCCCAUAAGACUGGGAUAACUCCGGGAAACCGGGGCUAAUACCGGAUAACAUUUUGAACCGCAUGGUUCGAAAUUGAAAGGCGGCUUCGGCUGUCACUUAUGGAUGGACCCGCGUCGCAUUAGCUAGUUGGUGAGGUAACGGCUCACCAAGGCAACGAUGCGUAGCCGACCUGAGAGGGUGAUCGGCCACACUGGGACUGAGACACGGCCCAGACUCCUACGGGAGGCAGCAGUAGGGAAUCGUCCGCAAUGGACGAAAGGCUGACGGAGCAACGCCGCGUGAGUGAUGAAGGCUUUCGGGUCGUAAAACUCUGUUGUUAGGGAAGAACAAGUGCUAGUUGAAUAAGCUGGCACCUUGACGGUACCUAACCAGAAAGCCACGGCUAACUACGUGCCAGCCGCCGCAGUAA
RNAcentral lists this ribosomal RNA (515 nucleotides) under uncultured bacterium. RNAcentral describes it as "partial 16S ribosomal RNA". It matches the Rfam family "Bacterial small subunit ribosomal RNA", at positions 28 to 523 of the family's 1533-position model. The record is from RNAcentral.